Molecule: ribosomal RNA, 492 nt
Filed under: uncultured bacterium
Lineage: Bacteria
Description: partial 16S ribosomal RNA
Rfam family: Bacterial small subunit ribosomal RNA
Source: RNAcentral
AGUGAACGCUGGCGGUAUGCCUAACACAUGCAAGUCGAACGGCAGCACCGUAAGAGCUUGCUCUUACGGGUGUCGAGUGUCGGACGGGUGAGGUAUACAUCGGAAUCUACUUUUUCGUGGGGGAUAACGUAGGGAAACUUACGCUAAUACCGCAUACGACCUACUGGUGAAAGCAGGGGAUCUUCGGACCUUGUGCGAUUGAAUGAGCCUAUGUCGGAUUAGCUAGUUGGCGGGGUAAAGGCCCACCAAGGCGACGAUCCGUAACUGGUCUGAGAGGAUGAUCAGACAGACUGGAACUGAGAAACGGUCCAGACUCCGACGGGAGGAAGCAGUGGGGAAUAUUGGACAAUGGGCGCAAGCCUGAUCCAGCCAUACCGCGUGGGGGAAGAAGGCCUUCGGGUUGGAAAGCCAUGUUGUUGGGAAAGAAAAGAAGCAGGUUAAUACCCGGCGGUACUGACGGUACCCAAAGAAUAAGCACCGGCUAACUUCGUG